Molecule: ribosomal RNA, 263 nt
Filed under: uncultured bacterium
Lineage: Bacteria
Description: partial 16S ribosomal RNA
Source: RNAcentral
CUGCUGCCUUCCGUAGGAGUCUGGCCCGUGUCUCAGUCCCAAUGUGGCCGUCCACCCUCUCAGGCCGGCUACUGAUCGUCGCCUUGGUGGGCCGUUACCCCGCCAACAAGCUAAUCAGACGCGGGUCCAUCUUACACCACCGGAGUUUUUCACACAAAUCCAUGCGGCUUCGUGCGCUUAUGCGGUAUUAGCACCUAUUUCUAAGUGUUAUCCCCCAGUGUAAGGCAGGUUACCCACGCGUUACUCACCCGUCCGCCACUAAG